Molecule: long non-coding RNA, 1175 nt
Organism: Balaenoptera acutorostrata (minke whale)
Lineage: Eukaryota; Metazoa; Chordata; Mammalia; Artiodactyla; Balaenopteridae
Exons: 3
Source: RefSeq, a predicted model, not a curated record
CGCCGCGUGCCCGAGCGCGGGACCGGGGGCGCCCCGAGCCCGGGCCUCACAAAGGGAGCGGAAGGCCGGAGCCCCGGGCCUUCAGGGCGGCCGCUCUCCUGCGGAGUCGAAGCCGGGAACCGAACCCUCGCUCGCUGCGGUGGCGGAGGUGCAGACUGAAAUCGGGAGACUAGUUUUCACUUGGGCUCAGAUGCUGCUUUGCGUUAUGAAAUAAAACUUAGCUGAGAGUUGGAGGGAAGGGGGUUGGUCUAAUGAGCUUGAACGGACACCGCAGUUCCUCUCUCCUUCCUCCUGCAGACACACAGGCGCAAGCUGUGCGGCAGUUCGUCACCUGUCUUUCCUGCUGAUAAUUUGAGACUGAGACCCAAAUAGGAGAAGUAACAAGGGAAGUGAAGAGAGAUCCGGAGGGGAAUGCGCACUUGGAUUAGGGGUCUGCACGUCUGGACCCGGCUUCCCCCAUCCCACCCACUCCCUGUGAUUUCCCGUUUGCCCCUCACGGAACUGCUGAGCGGACGCAAAGACGGGUCUAGGAUGCAUGUGUGUAAAAACGGCCUGGAAGCUAUCGAGUCUCUACAGAUCCAAGGUGACCAUUUGGGAAAAGUGUCCUGUCCGCCUCCACUACGUCAUUAGCAUGUGUAUCCUCCUUUGACUUCCCUGGAUCCCCCAAAUGAAGACCACCACAGAAUGCUUUCCUUCCUUUCCUGCAACAACCAGCUAUCUAUGGGCACAUGCGCAGAAUCGUGUGUCUAGAAGAUUCCUCACUGAAGCACUAUUCGUGGUAGCAAAAGAUUGGAAACAGCCCAUCAAGAAUGUCCAUCAUGGGGCUUCCCUGGUGGCGCAGUGGUUGAGAGUCUGCCUGCUAAUGCAGGGGACACGGGUUCGAGCCCUGGUCUGGGAGGAUCCCACAUGCCGCGGAGCGACUAAGCCCGUGAGCCACAACUACUGAGCCUGCGCGUCUGGAGCCUGUGCCCCGCAACGGGAGGGGCCGCGAUAGUGAAAGGCCCGCGCACCGCGAUGAAGAGCGGUCCCCGCACCGCAAUGAAGAGUGGCCCCCGCUUGCCGCAACUGGAGAAAGCCCUCGCACGAACCGAAGACCCAACACAGCCAAAAAUAAAUAAAUAAAUAAAUAAUAAAAAAACCCUUGCUUUAAAAAAAAAAUAAAAAAAAAAAAGAAU